UACGAAGGGGGCUAGCGUUGUUCGGAAUUACUGGGCGUAAAGCGCACGUAGGCGGACAUUUAAGUCAGGGGUGAAAUCCUGGAGCUCAACUCCAGAACUGCCUUUGAUACUGAGGAUCUUGAGUUCGGGAGAGGUGAGUGGAACUGCGAGUGUAGAGGUGAAAUUCGUAGAUAUUCGCAAGAACACCAGUGGCGAAGGCGGCUCACUGGCCCGAUACUGACGCUGGGGCACGAAAGCGUGGGGAGCAAACAGGG
RNAcentral lists this ribosomal RNA (254 nucleotides) under uncultured bacterium. RNAcentral describes it as "partial 16S ribosomal RNA". It matches the Rfam family "Bacterial small subunit ribosomal RNA", at positions 524 to 777 of the family's 1533-position model. The record is from RNAcentral.